UUUGAUACUCGGCCUUUUGGCUAAGAUCAAGUGUAGUAUCUGUUCCUAUCAGUUUAAGAUUUCAUUUCUAAUUCACUCAGCAGUUAUUGAAGUAUCAUUGAUUUUAUUUCCAGCAUACACAGAUGUGAACUCUCUCUGAUCAGAGUCAGGUGAGUCUAG
Small nuclear RNA from Cavia porcellus (domestic guinea pig), 159 nucleotides. Its record names the gene U2. It matches the Rfam family "U2 spliceosomal RNA". From Rfam's summary of the family: U2 is a small nuclear RNA (snRNA) component of the spliceosome (involved in pre-mRNA splicing). Complementary binding between U2 snRNA (in an area lying towards the 5' end but 3' to hairpin I) and the branchpoint sequence (BPS) of the intron results the bulging out of an unpaired adenosine, on the BPS, which initiates a nucleophilic attack at the intronic 5' splice site, thus starting the first of two transesterification reactions that mediate splicing. Lineage: Eukaryota; Metazoa; Chordata; Mammalia; Rodentia; Caviidae. The record is from Ensembl.